GGAGGAAUAUUGGUCAAUGGGCGAGAGCCUGAACCAGCCAAGUAGCGUGCAGGACGACGGCCCUAUGGGUUGUAAACUGCUUUUGCGCGGGGAUAAAGUGCGCCACGUGUGGCUCAUUGCAGGUACCGCGCGAAUAAGGACCGGCUAAUUCCGUGCCAGCAGCCGCGGUAAUACGGAAGGUCCGGGCGUUAUCCGGAUUCAUUGGGUUUAAAGGGAGCGCAGGCCGCCCCUUAAGCGUGUUGUGAAAUGCCGCGGCUCAACCGUGGCACUGCAGCGCGAACUGGGGGGCUUGAGUGCGCGCAGCGCAGGCGGAACUCGUGGUGUAGCGGUGAAA
RNAcentral lists this ribosomal RNA (334 nucleotides) under uncultured Prevotella sp. RNAcentral's name for it is "bacterial SSU rRNA". It matches the Rfam family "Bacterial small subunit ribosomal RNA", at positions 355 to 686 of the family's 1533-position model. Lineage: Bacteria; Pseudomonadati; Bacteroidota; Bacteroidia; Bacteroidales; Prevotellaceae. The record is from RNAcentral.